This 253-nucleotide ribosomal RNA is filed under the name uncultured bacterium. RNAcentral describes it as "partial 16S ribosomal RNA". It matches the Rfam family "Bacterial small subunit ribosomal RNA", at positions 524 to 776 of the family's 1533-position model. The record is from RNAcentral.
UACGUAGGCAGCGAGCGUUGUUCGGAGUUACUGGGCGUAAAGGGUGCGUAGGCGGUUGUUUAAGUUUGGUGUGAAAUCUCCCGGCUCAACUGGGAGGGUGCGCCGAAUACUGAAUGACUAGAGUGCGGGAGAGGAUAGUGGAAUUCCUGGUGUAGCGGUGAAAUGCGCAGAUAUCAGGAGGAACACCGGUGGUGUAGACGGCUAUCUGGACCGUAACUGACGCUGAGGCACGAAAGCGUGGGUAGCAAACAGG